CUCACACUAAUAGGUCAUUUUGAUUUGCUUCAAAAGAGAAUAGUAACAUAGUGUGUGAAGUGCUUUAUUAAAUGGCAUCUAUAAGUCAUCUAUUUUAACAGAAACAGUGGCUUUAGGGUUCGGGUUGCGGCAGACAGGCAGUUAUUUGAAAUGGAAUGAAGCCCACCCACGGCAUUUGCGGCAUGACAGUGUUGGAACACGCCCCACACUCCGGUCCGGUUGGUGACAGUAAUGUGCGAAUGCGCAUGUGUAUGACUGCGCGGUGCUUUCUGGUCUUCCUGCGCGGCUUUCUGUGGCGUUAACGUUGCAUUUGACUGUUUCAAAUGAACCAAACAAAUGUCAUUAACAAAAAAUAUAUCCAGAGAGUUUAAGACGGUAAAACAGCAGCAUUCCAGUAGGAAACAUCGCUGGAGGAAGAGUAUUUUUCAGAACGAGGACGUUUUUUGCGACGUGAAGUAGGAGUGGGGCGCCAUUGAAGGAUUCAAUGGCGGCACUGAACACGUUUCACACUCAAGAAGACCCAGCCAGCCACCUGUUCACCUGAGGGAGAAAGCCCUGUCUUCAGCCUGUCUUCAGCUUGUCAAAUAACCAUUCCAUGUGGCAGCAGCAUGUUGGUGGACAAGUUCCAGACGCCAUGGGAAAAAAUGAGGCCCUCUCUUGUAAGAGACAUUGUUGCUGGAUGUUGGACACGUACCAGGAGGAAGUGGCUCUUCGGGCAGUGGUCAAUGAGAAGCAAGUGCCUUCAGGAAUCACCUUUUUCAAACUCCCCACACGUCAUUAUACUCAACCAUUAGGUUUUUAUGUGUUACAGACCUUGGAUAGAUAUACUGAGGAUUUUGUUUGCCGUUAAUUUUGCUUUCUAAUUUAGCUACCUUAAAAAGCUUA
Etheostoma cragini (Arkansas darter) is the source of this 885-nucleotide long non-coding RNA. RefSeq lists it as uncharacterized. Lineage: Eukaryota; Metazoa; Chordata; Actinopteri; Perciformes; Percidae. The transcript has 3 exons. The record is from RefSeq and is a predicted model, not a curated record.